UAUCUAAUUCUUUUUUUUAGUUCUGGAUUACUAAAUACUGAAGGAUAGAUUGUUUUCAUAUUGCCCCUCAAUCUUUUAAUACGUGUUUUUAACAUGGAUCUGAUACAUUUAAUCCAUUUUGACAAAAUGUAUAUAAUCCUUAAAAAUGUGAGUUCCACAGCAGUUUUGAAUACCACAGAGGCACCUACACCAUGUUAUAAUCAAAUAAUGUUAAUAGGAUUAUUUUUUAUUUCCCAUCAAAUUUUAUGCUUUAUAUUAUAUUCUAAAAUUAUUAGGUAUAAACUUGAAUUACAUUGAACACUUGGUAUUUCUAGAAAUAAUAUGCAGUUUAUUAAAAUUUCUGUUUUCAACGAAAUGUUGCAUUUUAUUUAUACCAUCCAAAUGAAUGAUUUCUGCUUUAAAAGUAAUGUUUUUAUUUAGCUGUAUGAGUCGAGUAAAAUACUUGAAGGAGAAAAUCCUUUCGUUUUAAUUUUGAUCAUUGUAGGCAAAAGGCGACUUGGCGAAAGUUGCUCUUUAAGUAUACAAUGUUCUGGAAGCGAAAAUGCUGGAAAGUGUAAAACUCAGAAUUAUCUGGAAACUUUAACCAAGAGAAAUCAUGCCAAUGCGACGAUAACUUCCUACCGGUGCUAGGACUCUGUCUUCCGGGUAAUUUAUCAGUAGGAAAUGAAUGCUACCUUUCAUCACAGUGUUCCAGUACAAGACAUGCAGAUCGAUGUGUUGAUGGAUAUUGUCACUGUCAAGAAGGAUUUCUUCUAAAGGAACAAAAGUGCUUACCUGGUACACUGCUUCUUGGAGAAAGCUGUGAAUUUAAUGAACAGUGCAGUGGUACAAAAAAUGCUGGAAGCUGCAAAUAUGCAGGAAGUGUAAAUUUUACAGUUAGUAAACAAUGCAAUUGUGAUGAGGGUUAUUCAAAUUUUCGUGGAGACUGUCUUCCAGGCAAUUUAUCUGUUGGUCAGGAAUGUUUUCGCUCUCCGCAGUGCACUAAUGCAGAUCCUGCUGUACGAUGUGUUGAUGGUCACUGUCUCUGUAUGGAUGGAUAUCAAAUGAGGGGACGGAAAUGUGUCGAUGACACAAAUAAAGAAAACACAAAGAAACAAAAAG
This is a long non-coding RNA of Saccostrea cuccullata (small rock oyster), 1101 nucleotides long. RefSeq lists it as uncharacterized. Lineage: Eukaryota; Metazoa; Mollusca; Bivalvia; Ostreida; Ostreidae. The transcript has 5 exons. The record is from RefSeq and is a predicted model, not a curated record.